GAUUCUGGCUCAGGACGAACGCUGGCGGCAUGCCUAACACAUGCAAGUCGAACGGAGCUUUCGAGAGCUUGCUUUGAAAGCUUAGUGGCGGACGGGUGAGUAACGCGUGAGCAACCUGCCUUUCAGUGGGGAAUAAUAUUCUGAAAAGAGUACUAAUACCGCAUAACGUACAGAAACCGCAUGAUUUUUGUACCAAAGAUUUAUCGCUGAGAGAUGGGCUCGCGUCCGAUUAGCCAGUUGGUGGGGUAACGGCCUACCCAAAGCGACGAUCGGUAGCCGGACUGAGAGGUUGAACGGCCACAUUGGGACUGAGACACGGCCCAGACUCCUACGGGAGGCAGCAGUGGGGGAUAUUGCGCAAUGGGGGAAACCCUGAACCGCAGCAAUGCCGCGUGGAGGAUCGAAGGUCUUCGGAUUGUAAACUCCUUUUGUCAGGGACGAAAAAUGACGGUACCUGACGAAUAAGCUCCGGCUAACUACGUGCCAGCCGCAGC
This 494-nucleotide ribosomal RNA is filed under the name uncultured bacterium. RNAcentral's name for it is "bacterial SSU rRNA". It matches the Rfam family "Bacterial small subunit ribosomal RNA", at positions 15 to 518 of the family's 1533-position model. The record is from RNAcentral.